RNAcentral lists this long non-coding RNA (236 nucleotides) under Mytilus galloprovincialis (Mediterranean mussel). Lineage: Eukaryota; Metazoa; Mollusca; Bivalvia; Mytilida; Mytilidae. The record is from RNAcentral.
AAUUGUUUAAAAGAAAACAACACACGUAUAAAUGUCAUGUGUAUGACGCGCUUUUAUUCAUUUACCUUCAUCAAGAUCGCUCAGUGUCAAAUAUUUGAAAGCAUGAGAUGUAUAGAACACAAAACAACACUUGAAGAGCUAUACGACCACAAAAUCCUAACGAAAAGCCCAACCCAUCUUAGGUCAACUUUGCAUGAGGAAUUUCAAACCUUAAUAUCAAAAUAAUAUCAUUUUUU